Molecule: ribosomal RNA, 981 nt
Filed under: uncultured bacterium
Lineage: Bacteria
Description: bacterial SSU rRNA
Rfam family: Bacterial small subunit ribosomal RNA
Source: RNAcentral
GAUGAACGCUAGCGGCAGGCUUAACACAUGCAAGUCGAGGGGUAGGAGAAGCUUGCUUUUCUGAGACCGGCGCACGGGUGCGUAACGCGUAUGCAAUCUACCUUUCACAGAGGGAUAGCCCAGAGAAAUUUGGAUUAAUACCUCAUAGUAAUAUGAAAUGGCAUCAAGAAGUAUUUAAAGAUUUAUCGGUGAAAGAUGAGCAUGCGUCCCAUUAGCUAGUUGGUAUGGUAACGGCAUACCAAGGCAACGAUGGGUAGGGGUCCUGAGAGGGAGAUCCCCCACACUGGUACUGAGACACGGACCAGACUCCUACGGGAGGCAGCAGUGAGGAAUAUUGGACAAUGGGCGCAAGCCUGAUCCAGCCAUGCCGCGUGCAGGAUGACGGUCCUAUGGAUUGUAAACUGCUUUUAUACAGGAAGAAACACUUCUUCGUGUAGAGACUUGACGGUACUGUAAGAAUAAGGAUCGGCUAACUCCGUGCCAGCAGCCGCGGUAAUACGGAGGAUCCAAGCGUUAUCCGGAAUCAUUGGGUUUAAAGGGUCCGUAGGCGGUCAGGUAAGUCAGUGGUGAAAGCCCAUCGCUCAACGGUGGAACGGCCAUUGAUACUGUCUGACUUGAAUUAUUAGGAAGUAACUAGAAUAUGUAGUGUAGCGGUGAAAUGCUUAGAGAUUACAUGGAAUACCAAUUGCGAAGGCAGGUUACUACUAAUUGAUUGACGCUGAUGGACGAAAGCGUGGGUAGCGAACAGGAUUAGAUACCCUGGUAGUCCACGCCGUAAACGAUGGAUACUAGCUGUUGGGAGCAAUCUCAGUGGCUAAGCGAAAGUGAUAAGUAUCCCACCUGGGGAGUACGAACGCAAGUUUGAAACUCAAAGGAAUUGACGGGGGCCCGCACAAGCGGUGGAGCAUGUGGUUUAAUUCGAUGAUACGCGAGGAACCUUACCAAGGCUUAAAUGUAGAUUGACCGUUUGGAAACAGAACU